UCUAUGAAAGAAAACAUAAAGAGAGAAGACGAUUAAGCGCAAAAUCUUAUAAAUUGUCUUCGUUUGGAUUGGAAGUAGCCUGUGCAGUGUGCAAUUAUUGAGCGAUGGAAAAAAAUCUUAAGAGAACUUCAAAGGAAAACUGUGAGGCUGGACCUUUGAAAAGCAAACGUGAAUACUCAAUGAUUGCGAAUGAUCGCAAUUGACGUGCAACCGUUUAGUGUUGUCAAUGAUAGAGGAUUUCGUGAGUUGUUAGCAGAAAUGGACCCCCGCUACAAGUUACCAAGCAAAACCCAUCUCCGUAACGUAGCGAUUCCAAACGCAUAUGCAGAUUUGAAAACAAAACUUAAAUUUGCCUUGGAUUGCGUGGAAAAUGUGGCGAUCACAGCCGACGGAUGGACGUCC
This is a long non-coding RNA of Drosophila obscura, 402 nucleotides long. RefSeq lists it as uncharacterized. The record is from RefSeq and is a predicted model, not a curated record. The transcript has 3 exons. NCBI's taxonomy places the organism in Eukaryota, Metazoa, Arthropoda, Insecta, Diptera, Drosophilidae.